This 2900-nucleotide ribosomal RNA is filed under the name Klebsiella pneumoniae. RNAcentral describes it as "23S ribosomal RNA". It matches the Rfam family "Bacterial large subunit ribosomal RNA". Lineage: Bacteria; Pseudomonadati; Pseudomonadota; Gammaproteobacteria; Enterobacterales; Enterobacteriaceae. The record is from RNAcentral.
UUAAGCGACUAAGCGUACACGGUGGAUGCCCUGGCAGUCAGAGGCGAUGAAGGACGUGCUAAUCUGCGAAAAGCGUCGGUAAGGUGAUAUGAACCGUUAUAGCCGGCGAUGUCCGAAUGGGGAAACCCAGUGUGAUUCGUCACACUAUCGUUAACUGAAUACAUAGGUUAACGAGGCGAACCGGGGGAACUGAAACAUCUAAGUACCCCGAGGAAAAGAAAUCAACCGAGAUUCCCCCAGUAGCGGCGAGCGAACGGGGAGCAGCCCAGAGUCUGAAUCAGCUUGUGUGUUAGUGGAACGGUCUGGAAAGUCCGACGGUACAGGGUGAUAGUCCCGUACACCAAAAUGCACAGGCUGUGAACUCGAAGAGUAGGGCGGGACACGUGGUAUCCUGUCUGAAUAUGGGGGGACCAUCCUCCAAGGCUAAAUACUCCUGACUGACCGAUAGUGAACCAGUACCGUGAGGGAAAGGCGAAAAGAACCCCGGCGAGGGGAGUGAAAAAGAACCUGAAACCGUGUACGUACAAGCAGUGGGAGCACCUUCGGGUGUGACUGCGUACCUUUUGUAUAAUGGGUCAGCGACUUAUAUUCUGUAGCAAGGUUAACCGUAUAGGGGAGCCGCAGGGAAACCGAGUCUUAACUGGGCGUUAAGUUGCAGGGUAUAGACCCGAAACCCGGUGAUCUAGCCAUGGGCAGGUUGAAGGUUGGGUAACACUAACUGGAGGACCGAACCGACUAAUGUUGAAAAAUUAGCGGAUGACUUGUGGCUGGGGGUGAAAGGCCAAUCAAACCGGGAGAUAGCUGGUUCUCCCCGAAAGCUAUUUAGGUAGCGCCUCGUGAACUCAUCUUCGGGGGUAGAGCACUGUUUCGGCUAGGGGGUCAUCCCGACUUACCAACCCGAUGCAAACUACGAAUACCGAAGAAUGUUAUCACGGGAGACACACGGCGGGUGCUAACGUCCGUCGUGAAGAGGGAAACAACCCAGACCGCCAGCUAAGGUCCCAAAGUCAUGGUUAAGUGGGAAACGAUGUGGGAAGGCACAGACAGCCAGGAUGUUGGCUUAGAAGCAGCCAUCAUUUAAAGAAAGCGUAAUAGCUCACUGGUCGAGUCGGCCUGCGCGGAAGAUGUAACGGGGCUAAACCAUGCACCGAAGCUGCGGCAGCGACACUAUGUGUUGUUGGGUAGGGGAGCGUUCUGUAAGCCUGCGAAGGUGUGCUGUGAGGCAUGCUGGAGGUAUCAGAAGUGCGAAUGCUGACAUAAGUAACGAUAAAGCGGGUGAAAAGCCCGCUCGCCGGAAGACCAAGGGUUCCUGUCCAACGUUAAUCGGGGCAGGGUGAGUCGACCCCUAAGGCGAGGCCGAAAGGCGUAGUCGAUGGGAAACAGGUUAAUAUUCCUGUACUUGGUGUUACUGCGAAGGGGGGACGGAGAAGGCUAUGUUAGCCGGGCGACGGUUGUCCCGGUUUAAGCAUGUAGGCUGGUUAUCCAGGCAAAUCCGGAUAAUCAAGGCUGAGGUGUGAUGACGAGGCACUACGGUGCUGAAGUAACAAAUGCCCUGCUUCCAGGAAAAGCCUCUAAGCAUCAGGUAACAUCAAAUCGUACCCCAAACCGACACAGGUGGUCAGGUAGAGAAUACCAAGGCGCUUGAGAGAACUCGGGUGAAGGAACUAGGCAAAAUGGUGCCGUAACUUCGGGAGAAGGCACGCUGGUGUGUAGGUGAAGUCCCUGCGGAUGGAGCUGAGACCAGUCGAAGAUACCAGCUGGCUGCAACUGUUUAUUAAAAACACAGCACUGUGCAAACACGAAAGUGGACGUAUACGGUGUGACGCCUGCCCGGUGCCGGAAGGUUAAUUGAUGGGGUUAUCCGUAAGGAGAAGCUCUUGAUCGAAGCCCCGGUAAACGGCGGCCGUAACUAUAACGGUCCUAAGGUAGCGAAAUUCCUUGUCGGGUAAGUUCCGACCUGCACGAAUGGCGUAAUGAUGGCCAGGCUGUCUCCACCCGAGACUCAGUGAAAUUGAACUCGCUGUGAAGAUGCAGUGUACCCGCGGCAAGACGGAAAGACCCCGUGAACCUUUACUAUAGCUUGACACUGAACAUUGAGCCUUGAUGUGUAGGAUAGGUGGGAGGCUUUGAAGCGUGGACGCCAGUCUGCGUGGAGCCAACCUUGAAAUACCACCCUUUAAUGUUUGAUGUUCUAACGUUGGCCCCUUACCGGGGUUGCGGACAGUGUCUGGUGGGUAGUUUGACUGGGGCGGUCUCCUCCCAAAGCGUAACGGAGGAGCACGAAGGUUAGCUAAUCCUGGUCGGACAUCAGGAGGUUAGUGCAAUGGCAUAAGCUAGCUUGACUGCGAGCGUGACGGCGCGAGCAGGUGCGAAAGCAGGUCAUAGUGAUCCGGUGGUUCUGAAUGGAAGGGCCAUCGCUCAACGGAUAAAAGGUACUCCGGGGAUAACAGGCUGAUACCGCCCAAGAGUUCAUAUCGACGGCGGUGUUUGGCACCUCGAUGUCGGCUCAUCACAUCCUGGGGCUGAAGUAGGUCCCAAGGGUAUGGCUGUUCGCCAUUUAAAGUGGUACGCGAGCUGGGUUUAGAACGUCGUGAGACAGUUCGGUCCCUAUCUGCCGUGGGCGCUGGAGAAUUGAGGGGGGCUGCUCCUAGUACGAGAGGACCGGAGUGGACGCAUCACUGGUGUUCGGGUUGUCAUGCCAAUGGCACUGCCCGGUAGCUAAAUGCGGAAGAGAUAAGUGCUGAAAGCAUCUAAGCACGAAACUUGCCCCGAGAUGAGUUCUCCCUGAGACUAUAAGUCUCCUGAAGGAACGUUAAAGACGAUGACGUUGAUAGGCCGGGUGUGUAAGCGCAGCGAUGCGUUGAGCUAACCGGUACUAAUGAACCGUGAGGCUUAACCUU